Molecule: non-coding RNA, 73 nt
Organism: Danio rerio (zebrafish)
Lineage: Eukaryota; Metazoa; Chordata; Actinopteri; Cypriniformes; Danionidae
Source: Rfam
GCUAGGCUAGCUCAGUCGGUACAAUAUGAGACUCUUAAUCUCAGGGUCGUGGGUUUGAGCCCCACGUUGGGCG